This 773-nucleotide long non-coding RNA is filed under the name Vulpes vulpes (red fox). RNAcentral's name for it is "lncRNA (ENSVVUG00000010264.1)". The record is from RNAcentral. Lineage: Eukaryota; Metazoa; Chordata; Mammalia; Carnivora; Canidae.
GUGAUGAUACAGCACAGUUGAUCAUCAUGAAUGUCUAUAGGAUGUCAUAUUUAUGUUCUUCUGUUUAGCUUAAAUCUUACUCGGGUUCUAAUAGCAAACAGUCCAGUUACAAUGGGCUCCCACUGCAAAGCAUCUGCUCAAUUCAGAUAAAUAAGACCAAUGCGUUUGAAGGGCAAAGUUUCAAUACAAGUGGCCUGCCAUUUCAUUUGGCGAUGCAAUUCUUAUGCAGCAUAAAUAACAAAGGGGAAAGGGAUCAUUUGCUAAUUGAUUAAUUAUCUUGUAAAUGAAUUACAGACCUGUGGAGUGCUAGCUAGGUGUGUGCAGGAGACCUGGCUGUUUUCUUUUCUCCUUUGAGUUUAGGAGUUACAAGUGAUGACGAGGCUCUGUACACACAAAGCUGGCAUCUGUUACACCAGGCUGGAGGCCGCGUGCCAUGAUGUGCUUGUUUUUUUUUUGUUUUUUUUUUUUAGCACGUGAAAACCGUUCGCUGUGGAAUGCAGGUAUCUGUGUGUGCACGUCGGUGUGCCUCAGCAUACAGAGAGGAAUGAAAAUUGAAUUUCAAGUCAAAGCGCUCCAAGCCCCGGAAUCCUGCUCCAUAUGGAAAUUUCAGAAUUUGUUGAUUGUGGACAAUAAGCAGAGUCCUCCAGCUUUGUGCUUUUAUCCUGGUGGUGGCCCUCAAGAAUAAGCCGAGCACCCUGUUUCAUCUCAGUGCAUUUGCUUCCUUAAGAACAUGUAAGUAUCAGUUUCAUUUGCCCCUGAGUUGUGAAGUUGGA